CGCGGUGAAUACGUUCCCGGACCUUGUGCACACCGCCCGUCAAGCCAUGGAAGCUGGGUGUACCUAAAGUCGGUAACCGUAAGGAGCCGCCUAGGGUAAAACUAGUAACUGGGGCU
This 116-nucleotide ribosomal RNA is filed under the name uncultured bacterium. RNAcentral's name for it is "partial 16S ribosomal RNA". It matches the Rfam family "Bacterial small subunit ribosomal RNA", at positions 1358 to 1482 of the family's 1533-position model. The record is from RNAcentral.